UACGUAGGGUGCAAGCGUUAAUCGGAAUUACUGGGCGUAAAGCGUGCGCAGGCGGUUAUUCAAGACAGAUGUGAAAUCCCCGGGCUCAACCUGGGAACUGCAUUUGUGACUGGAUGACUAGAGUACGGCAGAGGGGGAUGGAAUUCCGCGUGUAGCAGUGAAAUGCGUAGAUAUGCGGAGGAACACCGAUGGCGAAGGCAAUCCCCCUGGGCCUGUACUGACGCUCAUGCACGAAAGCGUGGGGAGCAAACAGG
This 254-nucleotide ribosomal RNA is filed under the name uncultured bacterium. Its description in RNAcentral is "partial 16S ribosomal RNA". It matches the Rfam family "Bacterial small subunit ribosomal RNA", at positions 524 to 776 of the family's 1533-position model. The record is from RNAcentral.